CCUUUUUUCUCCAGGUUCCAAGGUUCCAUGGUGGGAAACAGCCACCAGUGGAGCAGGGGAUGGCGUUGGGACUCUGUUAGCUCUGCUGCUGGGUGGAGGAACGGCAUCUUGUGUUGUUCGGUGUUAUGCUCCCACCCUCGUAGCACUGGCACCUCCUGACCAGUUUCUCACCAAUUCAAAAUCAAGUCCCUACACGAUUUACGAAAAGGCACAGUGUCAGAUUUCUGCUGCUGCACUUAUCACGUGCCGGAGCCUCUUCUGCCCUUGUGAGAACACCCUCGCACAUCCAGCAUUGAGCAGGUGUGGAUCUCAUCUGCUCUGGGCCUUCCUAUGCUGUCAGCACCAGCUUUCUCUCUGGGUGGGUGUUUAUAGGGUCUCUCUUCUAGCCCUGGCUUUCUGGCCUUCUGGUUGAGGUGGAGACGACACUGCACCCUGGAACGGCGCUGAUGCAGAUGUGUGUUUAGACAGCCAGUUUUAUGAGA
This is a long non-coding RNA of Columba livia (rock pigeon), 482 nucleotides long. RefSeq lists it as uncharacterized. NCBI's taxonomy places the organism in Eukaryota, Metazoa, Chordata, Aves, Columbiformes, Columbidae. The record is from RefSeq and is a predicted model, not a curated record. The transcript is spliced from 4 exons.